This 521-nucleotide small RNA is filed under the name uncultured fungus. RNAcentral's name for it is "eukaryotic LSU rRNA". The stretch from base 173 to 326 matches the Rfam family "5.8S ribosomal RNA". Lineage: Eukaryota; Fungi. The record is from RNAcentral.
AUCAUUAAAGAACGCCCCGUUUUUUGAAAUGGGUAAUUCCCAAACCGUGUCUAUAUACCUUUGUUGCUUUGGCAGGUCGCCUUCUAGGAGGCGUCGGCUCCGGCUGACUGCGCCUGCCAGAGGACCCAAACUCGUUUUGUUUAGUGUCGUCUGAGUACUAUAUAAUAGUUAAAACUUUCAACAACGGAUCUCUUGGUUCUGGCAUCGAUGAAGAACGCAGCGAAAUGCGAUAAGUAAUGUGAAUUGCAGAAUUCAGUGAAUCAUCGAAUCCUUGAACGCACAUUGCGCCCCUUGGUAUUCCGAGGGGCAUGCCUGUUCGAGCGUCAUUAUAACCACUCAAGUUUCGACUUGGUAUUGGGGUUCGCGGUUUCGCGGCCCUUAAAAUCAGUGGCGGUGCCGUCUGGCUCUAAGCGUAGUAAUUCUCUCGCUACAGGGUCCGGGUGGUUGCUUGCCAGAAUCCCCCACUUUUAUAGGUUGACCUCGGAUCAGGUAGGGAUACCCGCUGAACUUAAGCAUAUCAA